AUUGCCCCAGUAACGGCGAGUGAAGCGGCAACAGCUCAAAUUUGAAAUCUGGCCCCCCGUGGUCCGAGUUGUAAUUUGUAGAGGAUGCUUUUGGUGAGGUGCCGCCCGAGUUCCCUGGAACGGGACGCCACAGAGGGUGAGAGCCCCGUCUGGCUGGCCACCGAGCCUCUGUAAAGCUCCUUCGACGAGUCGAGUAGUUUGGGAAUGCUGCUCAAAAUGGGAGGUAUAUGUCUUCUAAAGCUAAAUAUUGGCCAGAGACCGAUAGCGCACAAGUAGAGUGAUCGAAAGAUGAAAAGCACCUUGAAAAGAGGGUUAAAUAGUACGUGAAAUUGUUGAAAGGGAAGCGCUUGUGACCAGACUUGGGCGCGGCGGAUCAUCCGGGGUUCUCUCCGGUGCACUUCGCCGCGUUCAGGCCAGCAUCAGUUCGUCGCGGGGGAUAAAGGCUUCGGGAACGUGGCUCCUCCGGGAGUGUUAUAGCCCGUUGCAUAAUACCCUGCGGUGGACUGAGGACCGCGCAUCUGCAAGGAUGCUGGCGUAAUGGUCACCAGCGACCCGUCUUGAAACACGGACCAAGGAGUCGUCUUCGUAUGCGAGUGUUCGGGUGUCAAACCCCUACGCGUAAUGAAAGUGAACGCAGGUGAGAGCUUCGGCGCAUCAUCGACCGAUCCUGAUGUUCUCGGACGGAUUUGAGUAAGAGCAUACGGGGCCGGACCCGAAAGAAGGUGAACUAUGCCUGUAUAGGGUGAAGCCAGAGGAAACUCUGGUGGAGGCUCGCAGCGGUUCUGACGUGCAAAUCGAUCGUCAAAUAUGGGCAUGGGGGCGAAAGACUAAUCGAACCUUCUAGUAGCUGGUUCCGC
Molecule: ribosomal RNA, 857 nt
Filed under: Trichoderma deliquescens
Lineage: Eukaryota; Fungi; Ascomycota; Sordariomycetes; Hypocreales; Hypocreaceae
Description: LSU rRNA
Rfam family: Eukaryotic large subunit ribosomal RNA
Source: RNAcentral